RNAcentral lists this long non-coding RNA (1080 nucleotides) under Cricetulus griseus (Chinese hamster). Its description in RNAcentral is "lncRNA (ENSCGRG00015042935.1)". Lineage: Eukaryota; Metazoa; Chordata; Mammalia; Rodentia; Cricetidae. The record is from RNAcentral.
GUGCACAGCCUGACAGGGAGCUCUUUAAAUAGCUAGUUCAGGCUUGCACUGGCAGAUGCUCCUCUCUGCGGGUUGCGUCCUGAGCCCCGGUUUGAGAAUUACAUCAGCUGGCACCAGGAACUCUGAAACAGUAAUUGGAAGCCUCAUAGAGUUCUUCAAGCAAAUUACAUCAGUAGAGAGGCUUAUUUCCCUCGUUUGGAGUAAUAGCAAAAGCUGGCAACUCUGUGCACUUAGAUUUUGAGAAACUUGAGGUGAAGUUUAAUUGGCAUGAGACUCCAAAGCUUUUCAGAAAGUGGAUUAUGCAAAUGGGGCAGCCAACAAGUGCACACUAAAAGUCAGUACAUUGCAGUCUCUUGGGGACUCUUGAAUGGAAAGAAGCAUAAAAAGAAGUAGUGGUGUAAACAGGCUUCCAGUUCAGGGAGGGUCCAAGGUGAGACACUUCCACAUGGAAAUGUGGAGGCACACAUAGAAGGGGUUCCACGUGGUAGGAAUUCAAGUGAAUAGGACCUUGAGAAGUGCUCACAAAUGGGCUCCAGCUUUCCCUCUCACAGACAGUCAUCUACUGCUCCCUCCUGUUCAGCCGUCCAUCCAAUAAUCAUGGAACUGGUGCAGUUUGAAAUCCACACCUGCAGGUUACAUGUGAAGGUUGCUGGCUUUAUUGUUUUAAUUGAAGCCUGCCAGUAGACACCUUGAAGAAUGGUAAAAAUUAUCUGGGCACAGGGAGACUCACACAGUUCGUCUCUGUGGCUAUCAAGGCGGGAGGGGAAUCUGGGUUAUUCUAUGCUUGUUUUUAGUGGACAGCAAAAAAGCAAUUUGAAUCUUCAUGUUGGAAAGUAGUGGCUUCUAUUCUGAAGGGAGAUUUUAAUAUCGAAGAAUGUCUAAGCUUCACUGAGGUCAGUACUGAAGGAGUUCAGCAAGAGGAAACCUCUGAUGGUUCAGAGUGUGGGAGAGUAAAAGCCAGGGUUGCCCCGGGGGUAAUGCAGGGUAUGGUAUGUGUCCACUUAAGUCUGAGUAAGUGUUUGUGACAGGCCAGUACAAGAUAUUUGAUUCCCUGUGGUCCUGCCCCUUAAUCCAAUCUCU